UCACGAGGAUCCUACUGUCUCCCCCCUCUAAUCAGUGAAACUGAUCUCCCCGUGAAGAAGCGGGGAUAUACAUAUAAGACGAGAAGACCCCAUGGAGCUUUAAACCUGACAGCACCCGCUCAUUCUAUACCCCAUUAUUUGCCCGACCCCUGUCUGCUCAGUUUUAGGUUGGGGUGACCACGGAGUAUAAAAUAACCUCCAUGAAGAAGGGGAUAUUUCCCUUAUUAGAGAACCACACUUCCAAGAACUAAUAAAUUAAUUUUCAAUGACCCGAUACCCGAUAAUCGAUCAACGAACCAAGUUACCCUGGGGAUAACAGCGCAAUCCACCCUGAAAGCCCUUAUUAACAGGUGGGUUUACGACCUCGAUGUUGGAUCAGGGUAUCCCAGUGGUGCAGCAGCUACUGAGGGUUCGUUUGUUCAACGAUUAAA
Molecule: ribosomal RNA, 431 nt
Filed under: Boophis quasiboehmei
Lineage: Eukaryota; Metazoa; Chordata; Amphibia; Anura; Mantellidae
Description: partial 16S ribosomal RNA
Rfam family: Bacterial large subunit ribosomal RNA
Source: RNAcentral